CAGGAAGUGGAAGAGUACGACUUUAAAAAAUAAGAGCAUUGUCAUAUCGCCUUCUUUAAUGUACGUUUGAGAAUAAAGCAUUUUAUGGUGGAAAAUGUGUCGUUGACUUGCCAGCGCUUGAACAUUACCUUCAGUACUAAUCAGUCCCGCUGGGAAUUAUCGUGACACGCGUAAGUUGUGCUUUAUUUUGAAGGUGAAAACCAGAAGCCGUGUUCUCCUUCAUUCGCGCUGUCGCCGACUCAAUCACACACUGCUCACUUCGAGUCGACUGCCCCUCGAUCUACUGACAUAGCUUCGAUUAAAAAUACAGUUCGAUUCCUGCCAUAACUUCCUGUUGGUCGGCUGGAAAAACGUCAGAGCUCCUGUAGAAACAACAUGGUGGUGCAAGAUGGCAGAUUCCCUGUAAGAAGACCCUCUCCCCUUGUUUUUUUAUAAAGGGCUCAUUGCAAGGUAGGAUUAUUCCUUUGGACUGACCAUAUAUUUAUGAAAAGUGCAGUAUGGCAGACCUGACUUCUCAUGGUACAGUGUCUUGCAAAGAGAACCUGGUUCUAUGUAAACAGAUAUUUGUUUCCUUGCUACUGCUACUCUUCGAGUUAAGACUGUUGAAUUCAGUUUAUUAAUUAUUUUGUGUAUAAUAUUGCGUGCACAUUUCAGAAAGCUGAGUGAAUGGCUGCUUGACAAAUACUUGACUGUUGCCCGUUAUAGAAGAUCGCCAAAGAUUAUCCAAAAUCUACAUGCACCAUUGUAUUGAAAAUGUGACAAGGUCAUGAAAAUAAUAAGAUGCCCCUGAGAGGGCAGUAAAUCACAAGAUCAAUGUAAUAUCGGAUCGAUAACGAUAAUAAUGUAAGGAGAGAUAUCUCUUCCACUGCAGGAUCGUCCUUUUUGACGUCUAUUUUUAGCUUCAGCUGGACGACCACUGGUUGAUCUGAAGGUAUAUCAGGAUUUGAUCAAAUCUGGUAACAAUAUUUUGUCCAUUGUUUGCUUUUUUAACAUUUAGAAAUAAAUAUUUUUCAAUAAAAUUUGAGAACUGUAACCAAAAUAUUCAAUGUAUUUCAUGGCACUUUGAAGAAUAACAUUAUAUAGAUCUCUGCCAGAUGAUAUUUUUGUAUUGAAAUUUCUUGUUACGCAUCGGGCAACAUAUUUAUGUCAUAGCGAUGUAUCUGUGAUAAGCUAAUAUCUGCCAAUAUGGCAGACUGCUCUUACACAGGCAACAUAUCGGAGCCUUUUCUCUUGAAGUAGGGUGAUGUUGAUGAAGGUGCUAGGAGCUGAUCCGUGUACAGCAACACAGUAAAUCAAUGACCUCAAUGAUCAGUGGAGCUGAGGGGAACUGCAGAAUCAUGCGAUCAUUUUCUUUCAGUUUGUCACUGCGUGUGAUCAAUUCUUUUUACAAAACAUGUUGAUUGUGCAGCUUCAAAUACUUGAUAAAAUUUAACAAAG
Scophthalmus maximus (turbot) is the source of this 1437-nucleotide long non-coding RNA. RefSeq lists it as uncharacterized. NCBI's taxonomy places the organism in Eukaryota, Metazoa, Chordata, Actinopteri, Pleuronectiformes, Scophthalmidae. The record is from RefSeq and is a predicted model, not a curated record. The transcript has 3 exons.